Molecule: small RNA, 3101 nt
Filed under: Pongo abelii (Sumatran orangutan)
Lineage: Eukaryota; Metazoa; Chordata; Mammalia; Primates; Hominidae
Description: processed transcript
Source: RNAcentral
AUGCGCGCGCCCCGGCGGCGCGGGUCUGGGUCUGGGUCUGGGGAUGUGGUGCCGGCUGCCGGCGACCGCCGGCAGUAGAGCGGUGGCCAGGCCGCUGGCCUUGCUCUGGCGAUGUGGUGGCCCAGGAGGUGGCAGGACGGUCAAGACCAGCGCGAGGGUCCUGGGCAGGGCCCGACAGAAGAAGCUAAUAAGCUUAUCUGGUCUCUUGUUUCAGUGCCUCUAGGGGAUCCACGUUCAGAAGCUGACUCUGCAGGCGAGACCAACGUUAUUUUCCCGGUGGCUGUGUUCAAAACCACCCAAAGGGUUUGAGAAAUACUUUAAGAGGAGUGGAAGGAACAAACUCAGAAACAUCAACAGCACCAAAAAAAGAGACUGGUGAACUAGAGAAUGCCGAGUCUGGAGGAGAUGGAGGCAGGAGAGGAGGGAAGCGGGAUGACGUUGCCUGGUGGAGGCGGAUGCAGAAGGGGACUUCUGCAAUCUGGCCCUUUUGGGGGCAGGCGUUGCCAUGGGAUUUUUCUACCUCUAUUUUCGAGAUCCUGGAAGAGAAAUCACUUGGAAGCACUUUGUAUAGUAUUACCUGGCCAGAGGUCUGGUGGACCAGCUGGAAAUCCUGAACAAUUUGUGCGUGUUAUUCCUGCCCCUGGGAUCUCUUCUGAAGGAGCCAUGCUCAUUGGUCCUCCUGGUACCGGCAAGACCCUUCUUGCCAAAGCAACUGCAGGGGAGGCCACUGUGCCCUUCAUCACUGUGAACGGGUCUGAGUUCCUGGAAAUGUUUGUUGGCGUUGGGCCAGCAAGGGGUGCAACUCUGCCACCAACGUCGUGACGUUGGCUGGCACCAAAUGCCCUGGCAUCCUGGACCCGGCCCUGAUGCGGCCUGGCCGGUUUGAUCGCCAGAUUUACAUUGGUCCCCCUGACAUCAAAGGCAGGGUCCUCCAUCUUUAAGGUCCACCUACGCCCACUGAAGCUGGACGAGAGCCUCAAUAAGGAUGUCCUGGCGAGGAAGCUGGCAGCGCUCACCCCAGGCUUCACUGAGGGGGAUGACUCAGCAGGGCUGACUCAGCACUACCCCUCAACAGAGAUGACUUAGCUUUGCCCCUCAGCAGGGAUGACUCUGAUGACUCUGCCCCUCAGCAGGGAUUACUAAGCACUACCUUUUAACAGGGAUGGCUCAGCACUGCCCCCCGACAGAGAUGACUGAGCAGGGAUGACUCAGCACUGCACUCCAACUGAGAGGACUCAGCAGGGAUGACUCAGCACUGCCCCCCAACGGAGAUGACUCAACAGGGAUGACUCAAUGCUGCUCCUCAGCAGGGAUGACUUAGCAGGGAUGACUCAGCACUGCCCCCAACGGAGAUGACUCAACAGGAUGAUCAUGCUGCUCCAGCAGGGAUGACUUAGCAGGGAUGACUCAGCACUGCCCCUAACGGAGAUGACUCAGCAGGGAUGACUCAGCACUGCCCCCAACGGGGAUGACUCAGCAGGGAUGAUUCAGCAGAGAUGACUCAGUACUGCCCCUCAGCAGGGAUGACUCAGCAGGGAUGACCAGUAUUGCCCCUGAAUGGGGAUGACUCAGCAGGAAUGAUGCAGCAGGGAUGACUCAGCACUGCCCCUCAGCCAGGAUGACUCAGCAGGGAUGACUCAGCACUGCCCCUCAGCCAGGAUGACUCAGCAGGGAUGGCUCAGCACUGCCCCUCAGCAGGGAUGGCUCAGCACUGCCCCGCAGCAGGGAUGACUCAGCAGGGAUGGCUCAGUACUGCCUCUCAGCAGGGAUGACUAAGCAGGAAUGACUCAGCAGGGAUGACUUAGCACUAACCCCAACGGAGAUGACUCAGCAGAGGUGGCUCAGCAGGGAUGACUCAGCACUGCUCCUCAGCAGGGAUGACUCAGCAGGGAUGACUCAGGACUGCCCCCCCAACAGUGAUGACUCAGGAGGGAUCACUCAGCACUGCCCCCAACAGGUAUGGCUCAGCAGGGAUGACUCAGCACUGCCCCCCCAACGGUGAUGACUCAGCAGGGAUGACUCAGCACUGCCCCCCAACAGGUAUGGCUCAGCAGGGAUGACUCACCACUGCCCCCAACAGGGAUAACUCAGCAGGGAUGACUCAGCACUGCCCCCAACGUGGAUGGCUCAGGAGGGAUGACUCAGCACUGCCACCAACAGGGAUGGCUCAGCAGGGAUGACUCAUUACCGCCCCCCCACGGGGAUGACUCAGCAGGGAUGACUCAGCACUGCCACUCAACAGGGGUAGCUCAGUAGGGAUGACUCAGCACUGCCCCCCAAUGGGGUUGACUCAGCAGGGAUGACUCAGCACUGCCAACUGCCCCCCAACGGGGAUGACUCAGCAGGGAUGACUCAGCACUGCACUCAACAGGGGUGGCUCAGCAGGGAUGACUCAGCACUGCCCCCAACGGGGAUGACUCAGCAGGGAUGACUCGUCACUGCCCCCAACGGGGAUGACUCAGCACUGCCCCUCUACAGGGAUGACUCAGCAGGGAUGACUCAGCACUGCCCCUCAGCAGGGAUGACUCAGCAGUGAUAACUCAGCACUGCCCCUCAGCAAGGAUGACUCAGCAGGGAUGAUUCAGCAGAGAUAACUUGGGGAUGACUCUGACUGCCCCUCAGCAUGGAUGAGUCUGUUUUGCUCCAAUGGAAGCAUCCAUAGUGUCCAUCAGCAGGUGAAUGGCUAAAGUGGUAUAUACUGUAGUCAAAUUCUGCUAUAAAAAGGAAUAAAGUAUUGAUGCAUGCCACAACAUGGGUGAACCUGGAAAAUACUGUUCUAAAUGCAAGAGGCCAGGAACAAAAGGCCACAUAAUAUAUGUUCCCAUUUAUGUGAAAUGUGCAGAAUAAUAAUAAAAAUGUAUAGAAUAGCAAAUCUGUAGGGACAGACAUGAAGUGAGUGGUUGCCAGAAGUGGAAAUGAGAGUUAACUAUAAAUAGCAUAGGGUACCUUACAGAGAUGAUGGAAAUGUCCUAAAACUAGAUUAUGGCAAUGGUUGCACCACAUGAUCCGUUUAUUAAAAAUCGUUGAUGUGUGUGUGUAAAAUGGAUGGAUUUUAUGAUUUAUAAAUUAUACCUUAAUAAAGGUUAACAAAAAAUGUGGCU